Molecule: non-coding RNA, 52 nt
Filed under: Trypanosoma lewisi
Lineage: Eukaryota; Euglenozoa; Kinetoplastea; Trypanosomatida; Trypanosomatidae
Source: RNAcentral
GGAUACUACACAAAUCCUGUACAUAUGAUGGAGAAUGAAAGUUGUGAGAAUA